This 567-nucleotide ribosomal RNA is filed under the name uncultured bacterium. RNAcentral's name for it is "bacterial SSU rRNA". It matches the Rfam family "Bacterial small subunit ribosomal RNA", at positions 338 to 916 of the family's 1533-position model. The record is from RNAcentral.
CCUACGGGAGGCAGCAGUGGGGAAUAUUGCACAAUGGGCGAAAGCCUGAUGCAGCAACGCCGCGUGAGGGACGACGGCCUUCGGGUUGUAAACCUCUUUUAGUAGGGAAGAAGCGAAAGUGACGGUACCUGCAGAAAAAGCACCGGCUAACUACGUGCCAGCAGCCGCGGUAAUACGUAGGGUGCAAGCGUUAUCCGGAAUUAUUGGGCGUAAAGAGCUCGUAGGCGGUUUGUCACGUCUGCUGUGAAAACUGGAGGCUCAACCUCCAGCCUGCAGUGGGUACGGGCAGACUAGAGUGCGGUAGGGGAGAUUGGAAUUCCUGGUGUAGCGGUGGAAUGCGCAGAUAUCAGGAGGAACACCGAUGGCGAAGGCAGAUCUCUGGGCCGUAACUGACGCUGAGGAGCGAAAGCAUGGGGAGCGAACAGGAUUAGAUACCCUGGUAGUCCAUGCCGUAAACGUUGGGAACUAGAUGUAGGGGCCAUUCCACGGCUUCUGUGUCGCAGCUAACGCAUUAAGUUCCCGCCUGGGGAGUACGGCCGCAAGGCUAAACGUCAAAGGAAUUGACGG